Molecule: ribosomal RNA, 492 nt
Filed under: uncultured bacterium
Lineage: Bacteria
Description: partial 16S ribosomal RNA
Rfam family: Bacterial small subunit ribosomal RNA
Source: RNAcentral
AGUGAACGCUGGCGGUAGGCCUAACACAUGCCAGUCGAACGGCAGCACAGUAAGAGCUUGCUCUUACGGGUGGCGAGUGGCGGACGGGUGAGGAAUACAUCGGAAUCUACUUUUUCGUGGGGGAUAACGUAGGGAAACUUACGCUACUACCGCAUACGACCUACGGGUGAAAGCAGUGGAUCUUCGGACCUUUCGCGAUUGAAUGAGCCGAUGUCGGAUUAGCUAGUUGGCGGGGUAAAGGCCCACCAAGGCGACGAUCCGUAGCUGGUCUGAGAGGAUGAUCAGCCACACUGGAACUGAGACACGGUCCAGACUCCUACGGGGGGCAGCAGUGGGGAAUAUUGGACAAUGGGCGCAAGCCUGAUCCAGCCAUGCCGCGUGGGUGAAGAAGGCCUUCGGGUUGUAAAGCCCUUUUGUUGGGAAAGAAAAGCAGCAGGUUAAUACCCCGCUGUUCUGACGGUACCCAAAGAAUAAGCACCGGCUAACUUCGUG